GUCGAACGGUAACAGGGAGCUUGCUCCGCUGACGAGUGGCGAACGGGUGAGUAAUAUAUCGGAACGUACCUAGUAAUGGGGGAUAACUAGUCGAAAGAUUAGCUAAUACCGCAUACGCCCUAAGGGGGAAAGAGGGGGAUCGCAAGACCUCUUGUUAUUAGAGCGGCCGAUAUCUGAUUAGCUAGUUGGUGAGGUAAAGGCUCACCAAGGCGACGAUCAGUAGCUGGUCUGAGAGGACGACCAGCCACACUGGAACUGAGACACGGUCCAGACUCCUACGGGAGGCAGCAGUGGGGAAUUUUGGACAAUGGGCGCAAGCCUGAUCCAGCAAUGCCGCGUGAGUGAAGAAGGCCUUCGGGUUGUAAAGCUCUUUUGUCAGGGAAGAAACGGUGCGGGCUAAUAUCCUGUGCUAAUGACGGUACCUGAAGAAUAAGCACCGGCUAACUACGUGCCAGCAGCCGCGGUAAUACGUAGGGUGCAAGCGUUAAUCGGAAUUACUGGGCGUAAAGCGUGCGCAGGCGGUUGUGUAAGACAGGUGUGAAAUCCCCGGGCUUAACCUGGGAAUGGCAUUUGUGACUGCACGGCUAGAGUGUGUCAGAGGGGGGUAGAAUUCCACGUGUAGCAGUGAAAUGCGUAGAGAUGUGGAGGAAUACCGAUGGCGAAGGCAGCCCCCUGGGAUAACACUGACGCUCAUGCACGAAAGCGUGGGGAGCAAACAGGAUUAGAUACCCUGGUAGUCCACGCCCUAAACGAUGUCUACUAGUUGUCGGGUCUUAAUUGACUUGGUAACGCAGCUAACGCGUGAAGUAGACCGCCUGGGGAGUACG
This 827-nucleotide ribosomal RNA is filed under the name Collimonas sp. PBS1-10_Pa. RNAcentral's name for it is "bacterial SSU rRNA". It matches the Rfam family "Bacterial small subunit ribosomal RNA", at positions 61 to 884 of the family's 1533-position model. Lineage: Bacteria; Pseudomonadati; Pseudomonadota; Betaproteobacteria; Burkholderiales; Oxalobacteraceae. The record is from RNAcentral.